Molecule: ribosomal RNA, 347 nt
Filed under: Pseudomonas syringae
Lineage: Bacteria; Pseudomonadati; Pseudomonadota; Gammaproteobacteria; Pseudomonadales; Pseudomonadaceae
Description: partial 23S ribosomal RNA
Rfam family: Bacterial large subunit ribosomal RNA
Source: RNAcentral
CGUGGUAGCCUGCGAAAAGCUUCGGGGAGUCGGCAAACAGACUGUGAUCCGGAGAUGUCUGAAUGGGGGAACCCAGCCAUCAUAAGAUGGUUAUCUUGUACUGAAUACAUAGGUGCAAGAGGCGAACCAGGGGAACUGAAACAUCUAAGUACCCUGAGGAAAAGAAAUCAACCGAGAUUCCCUUAGUAGUGGCGAGCGAACGGGGACCAGCCCUUAAGUUGUAUUGAGAUUAGCGGAACGUUCUGGAAAGGACGGCCAUAGUGGGUGAUAGCCCUGUACGCGAAAAUCCCUUUGCAAUGAAAUCGAGUAGGACGGGGCACGAGAAACCUUGUCUGAAUAUGGGGGGA